RNAcentral lists this ribosomal RNA (468 nucleotides) under uncultured bacterium. RNAcentral describes it as "partial 16S ribosomal RNA". It matches the Rfam family "Bacterial small subunit ribosomal RNA", at positions 28 to 507 of the family's 1533-position model. The record is from RNAcentral.
GACGAACGCUGGCGGCGUGCUUAACACAUGCAAGUCGAACGGAAAGGCCCUGCUUUUGUGGGGUGCUCGAGUGGCGAACGGGUGAGUAACACGUGAGUAACCUGCCCUUGACUUUGGGAUAACUUCAGGAAACUGGGGCUAAUACCGGAUAGGAGCUCCUGCUGCAUGGUGGGGGUUGGAAAGUUUCGGCGGGUGGGGAUGGACUCGCGGCUUAUCAGCUUGUUGGUGGGGUAGUGGCUUACCAAGGCUUUGACGGGUAGCCGGCCUGAGAGGGUGACCGGGCACAUUGGGGCUGGGGUACCGCCCAGAAUCCUACGGGAGGGAGCAGUGGGGAAUAUUGCACAAUGGGCGGAAGCCUGAUGCAGCAACGCCGCGUGCGGGAUGACGGCCUUCGGGUUGUAAACCGCUUUCGCCUGUGACGAAGCGUGAGUGACGGUAAUGGGUAAAGAAGCACCGGCUAACUACGUG